UACGAAGGGGGCUAGCGUUGCUCGGAAUGACUGGGCGUAAAGGGCGCGUAGGCGGCUCAUACAGUCAGAUGUGAAAUUCCUGGGCUUAACCUGGGGGCUGCAUUUGAUACGUGUGGGCUUGAGUGGGGAAGAGGGUCGUGGAAUUCCCAGUGUAGAGGUGGAAUGCGCAGAUAUCAGGAAGAACACCAACGGCGAAGGCAGCUCGCUGGGACGGUACUGACGCUGAGACGCGAAAGCGUGGGGAGCGAACAGG
RNAcentral lists this ribosomal RNA (253 nucleotides) under uncultured bacterium. Its description in RNAcentral is "partial 16S ribosomal RNA". It matches the Rfam family "Bacterial small subunit ribosomal RNA", at positions 524 to 776 of the family's 1533-position model. The record is from RNAcentral.